GCAGGGAAUCUUCCACAAUGGGCGAAAGCCUGAUGGAGCGACGCCGCGUGAGGGAUGAAGGCUCUAGGGUCGUAAACCUCUUUUCUCAGGGAAGAGCAAGGACGGUACCUGAGGAAUAAGUGACGGCUAACUACGUGCCAGCAGCCGCGGUAAUACGUAGGUCACAAACGUUGUCCGGAUUUAUUGGGCGUAAAGGGUCCGUAGGCGGUUCGGUAAGUCUCCUGUGAAAUCUUCAGGCUCAACUUGAAGAGGUCGGGGGAUACUGCCGGACUUGAGACUGUUAGAGGCAAGUGGAAUUCCCGGUGUAGUGGUGAAAUGCGUAGAUAUCGGGAGGAACACCAGUGGCGAAAGCGGCUUGCUGGGACAGUUCUGACGCUGAGGGACGAAAGCGUGGGUAGCAAACCGG
This 406-nucleotide ribosomal RNA is filed under the name uncultured bacterium. RNAcentral's name for it is "bacterial SSU rRNA". It matches the Rfam family "Bacterial small subunit ribosomal RNA", at positions 354 to 776 of the family's 1533-position model. The record is from RNAcentral.